This 253-nucleotide ribosomal RNA is filed under the name uncultured bacterium. RNAcentral describes it as "partial 16S ribosomal RNA". It matches the Rfam family "Bacterial small subunit ribosomal RNA", at positions 524 to 776 of the family's 1533-position model. The record is from RNAcentral.
UACAGAGGUCUCAAGCGUUGUUCGGAUUCAUUGGGCGUAAAGGGCGCGUAGGCGGCGCGGUAAGUCGGGUGUGAAAUCUCGGGGCUUAACUCCGAAACUGCAUUCGAUACUACCGUGCUUGAGGACUGGAGAGGAGACUGGAAUUUACGGUGUAGCGGUGAAAUGCGUAGAUAUCGUAAGGAAGACCAGUGGCGAAGGCGGGUCUCUGGACAGUUCCUGACGCUGAGGCACGAAGGCGAGGGGAGCAAACGGG